This 503-nucleotide ribosomal RNA is filed under the name uncultured bacterium. RNAcentral's name for it is "partial 16S ribosomal RNA". It matches the Rfam family "Bacterial small subunit ribosomal RNA", at positions 29 to 523 of the family's 1533-position model. The record is from RNAcentral.
AACGAACGCUGGCGGCACGUUUUAAGCAUGCAAGUCGAAUGGCAGCAGGGGCAACUCUGUGAGAAUGGCGUACGGGUGAGUAACACGUAGGUGAUCUGCCUUGAGGAUGGGGAUAGCCUGUGGAAACCCAGGGUAAUACGGAAUGAGCUGCGGAGACUUUGGUUUUGUUAGUAAAGGUGUUACGGCACCGCCUUGAGAGGAGCCUGCGGCUGAUUAGCUAGUUGGUGGGGUAAGAGCUUACCAAGGCGACGAUCAGUAGCCGGCCUGAGAGGGUGUACGGCCACACUGGAACUGAGACACGGUCCAGACUCCUACGGGAGGCAGCAGCUAAGAAUCUUCCGCAAUGGGCGAAAGCCUGACGGAGCGAUGCCGCGUGAUCGAUGAAGGUCGAGAGAUUGUAAAGAUCUUUUCUACAUGAGGAAUAAGUCUGGGAGGGAAUGCCCGGAUGAUGACGUUAGUGUAGGAAUAAGCCCCGGCUAAUUACGUGCCAGCCGCCGCAGUAA